CCCUUAGAUGUUCUGGGCCGCACGCGCGCUACACUGAUGCAUUCAACGAGUGUACCUUGGCCGAGAGGCCUGGGCAAUCUUUUGAACGUGCAUCGUGAUAGGGAUAGAUUAUUGCAAUUAUUAAUCUUGAACGAGGAAUUCCUAGUAAACGCAGUUCAUCAAACUGCAUUGAUUACGUCCCUGCCCUUUGUACACACCGCCCGUCGCUCCUACCGAUUGAGUGGUCCGGUGAGGCUUUGGGAUCUGGGCGGAAAGAGCGUUUCGCUGUUUCUGCCCGGAAAACUCAGUCGAACCUUAUCAUUUAGAGGAAGGAGAAGUCGUAACA
Molecule: ribosomal RNA, 325 nt
Filed under: uncultured eukaryote
Lineage: Eukaryota
Description: partial 18S ribosomal RNA
Rfam family: Eukaryotic small subunit ribosomal RNA
Source: RNAcentral